UAUCAGUCAUGCAUAGCAUAUCAAUAAGCGGAGGAAAAGAAACUAACAAGGAUUCCCUUAGUAACGGCGAGUGAAGCGGGAAGAGCUCAAAUUUGAAAUCUUCAAGGUUCUACCUUGACGAAUUGUAGUUUAUAGAAGUGUUUUCUGUUAGUGGAGUGGCAAAAGUUCUUUGGAAUAGGACAUCAUAGAGGGUGAGAAUCCCGUAUUUGGUCAUUCCUCCUAGCGUUGUGAUACACUUUCAACGAGUCGGAUUGUUUGGGAAUGCAGUCCAAAAUGGGUGGUAAAUUUCAUCUAAAGCUAAAUAUUGGCGAGAGACCGAUAGCGAACAAGUACCGUGAGGGAAAGAUGAAAAGAACUUUGAAAAGAGAGUUAAACAGUACGUGAAAUUGUCAAAAGGGAAGCGUUUGACACCAGUGUUGUUUUUCCGAAAAUCAAUUACGAAUGUUUUGUUUUUGAGGAGUUAUGACUUCAUCGGCUUGCUCCUUUCUUUACGAAACUUUCUUAAUGCACUUUUCGGUUAACAAGUCAACAUCAAUUUCUUUUGUUGUAAAAGGUUAAUGAGGAAGGUGGCUUUACUUUCGGAGUAAAGUGUUUAUAGCCUUUGACUUCUGCAAUCGGAGAGAUUGAGGUCUGCAGCGUAGAUCCUUCGGGGUUAGAUAGCAUUUGUGCUAAGUUAUAGCUUGUCAUAGACAACUUGUUGACUAUGUUUAGUCAUUGUAGCUUACUCGCUUAGUGCUAUUUUACCUACGCUUAGGAUGUUGAUGUGAUACUGCGAGCA
This 778-nucleotide ribosomal RNA is filed under the name uncultured Neocallimastigales. RNAcentral's name for it is "partial large subunit ribosomal RNA". It matches the Rfam family "Eukaryotic large subunit ribosomal RNA", at positions 22 to 646 of the family's 3401-position model. The record is from RNAcentral. Lineage: Eukaryota; Fungi; Neocallimastigomycota; Neocallimastigomycetes; Neocallimastigales.